UCCUGGCUUAGGAUGAACGCUAGCGGCAGGCUUAACACAUGCAAGUCGAGGGGGCAUCGUGGAGUAGCAAUACUCUGACGGCGACCGGCGAAAGGGUGAGUAACGCGUGAGCAACAUGCCCGAUAGUGGAGGAUAGUCGAUGGAAACGUCGCGUAAUACUCCGUAAUAUAAGGGACCGCAUGAUCCUUUAUUAAUAGAUUUAUCGCUAUCGGAUUGGCUCGCGUACCAUUAGCUAGUUGGCGGGGUAACGGCCCACCAAGGCGACGAUGGUUAGGGGUUCUGAGAGGAAGGUCCCCCACAUUGGAACUGAGACACGGUCCAGACUCCUACGGGAGGCAGCAGUGAGGAAUAUUGGACAAUGGCCGGAAGGCUGAUCCAGCCAUGCCGCGUGCGGGAAGACGGCCCUAUGGGUUGUAAACCGCUUUUGUUGGGGAGCAAUAAGUCCUACGUGUAGGAUGAUGAGAGUACCCAGCGAGUAAGCAUCGGCUAACUCCGUGCCAGCCGCCGC
RNAcentral lists this ribosomal RNA (508 nucleotides) under uncultured bacterium. Its description in RNAcentral is "bacterial SSU rRNA". It matches the Rfam family "Bacterial small subunit ribosomal RNA", at positions 17 to 518 of the family's 1533-position model. The record is from RNAcentral.